This 492-nucleotide ribosomal RNA is filed under the name uncultured bacterium. RNAcentral's name for it is "partial 16S ribosomal RNA". It matches the Rfam family "Bacterial small subunit ribosomal RNA", at positions 29 to 507 of the family's 1533-position model. The record is from RNAcentral.
AGUGAACGCUGGCGGUAGACCUAACACAUGCAAGUCGAGCGGCAGCACAGUAAGAGCUUGCUCUUACGGGUGGCGAGUGGCGGACGGGUGAGGAAUACAUCGGAAUCUACUUUUUCGUGGGGGAUAACGUAGGGAAACUUACGCUAAUACCGCAUACGACCUACGGGUGAAAGCAGGGGAUCUUCGGACCUUGCGCGAUUGAAUGAGCCGAUGUCGGAUUAGCUAGUUGGCGGGGUAAAGGCCCACCAAGGCGACGAUCCGUAGCUGGUCUGAGAGGAUGAUCAGCCACACUGGAACUGAGACACGGUCCAGACUCCUACGGGAGGCAGCAGUGGGGAAUAUUGGACAAUGGGCGCAAGCCUGAUCCAGCCAUACCGCGUGGGUGAAGAAGGCCUUCGGGUUGUAAAGCCCUUUUGUUGGGAAAGAAAAGCAGCAGGUUAAUACCCCGCUGUUCUGACGGUACCCAAAGAAUAAGCACCGGCUAACUUCGUG